GUCUGGUGCCAGCAGCCGCGGUAACUCCAGCUCCAAUAGCGUAUAUUAAAGUUGUUGCGGUUAAAGCGUUCGUAGUUGAAUUUGUGCUUCAUACGGAUGGUGCAACUAUAAUUUUAGUUUGUACUAUGCCUUAUGUAUGUAAGCGUAUUACCGGUGGAGUUCUUAUAUACAGUAUUUAUUGUAUAUUUAUUGUGUAUUCCUCCUAUAGAAACUUACUUCAAUGCUCUUUAUCGGGUGUUGUUGUAGGCCGGUACAAUUACUUUGAACAAAUUAGAGUGCUUAAAGCAGGCUCAAGAUGCCUGAAUAUUUUGUGCAUGGGAUAAUGGAAUAAGACCUCUGUUCUGCUUUCAUUGGUUUCUAGAUCAAGAGGUAAUGAUUAAUAGAAGCAGUUUGGGGGCAUUAGUAUUACGACGCGAGAGGUGAAAUUCUUGGACCGUCGUAAGACUAACUUAAGCGAAAGCAUUUGCCAAAGAUGUUUUCAUUAAUCAAGAACGAAAGUUAGAGGUUCGAAGGCGAUCAGAUACCGCCCUAGUUCUAACCA
This 541-nucleotide ribosomal RNA is filed under the name Joblingia sp. MSCB3. RNAcentral's name for it is "SSU rRNA". It matches the Rfam family "Eukaryotic small subunit ribosomal RNA", at positions 559 to 1032 of the family's 1831-position model. Lineage: Eukaryota; Metazoa; Arthropoda; Insecta; Diptera; Streblidae. The record is from RNAcentral.